This 496-nucleotide ribosomal RNA is filed under the name uncultured bacterium. RNAcentral describes it as "partial 16S ribosomal RNA". It matches the Rfam family "Bacterial small subunit ribosomal RNA", at positions 29 to 507 of the family's 1533-position model. The record is from RNAcentral.
AUGAACGCUGGCGGCGUGCCUCAUACAUGCAAGUCGAGCGAACGGACGAGAAGCUUGCUUCUCUGAUGUUAGCGGCGGACGGGUGAGUAACACGUGGAUAACCUACCUAUAAGACUGGGAUAACUUCGGGAAACCGGAGCUAAUACCGGAUGAUAUUUUGAACCGCAUGGUUCAAAAGUGAAAGACGGUCUUGCUGUCACUUAUAGAUGGAUCCGCGCUGCAUUAGCUAGUUGGUAAGGUAACGGCUUACCAAGGCAACGAUGCAUAGCCGACCUGAGAGGGUGAACGGCCACACUGGAACUGAGACACGGUCCAGACUCCUACGGGAGGCAGCAGUAGGGAAUCUUCCGCAAUGGGCGAAAGCCUGACGGAGCAACGCCGCGUGAGUGAUGAAGGUCUUCGGAUCGUAAAACUCUGUUAUUAGGGAAGAACAUAUGUGUAAGUAACUGUGCACAUCUUGACGGUACCUAAUCAGAAGGCCACGGCUAACUACGUG